CUCAGUUACACUUGACUUUCAGCUAAACAAUGAAUAAUUUUUUAGUGUAAGUAUGCCCCAUGCAAUAUUUGGGACAUACUUAUACUUAAAAAUUACUGUUUAUCUAGAAUUCAAACAUAACCAGGUGUCCUAUA
RNAcentral lists this microRNA precursor (134 nucleotides) under Chlorocebus sabaeus (green monkey). RNAcentral describes it as "miRNA (ENSCSAG00000024727.1)". The stretch from base 39 to 90 matches the Rfam family "mir-1302 microRNA precursor family". Lineage: Eukaryota; Metazoa; Chordata; Mammalia; Primates; Cercopithecidae. The record is from RNAcentral.